UAGGCCUCUUAUACGUACUAUGCUAGCAGGCAUAAACUUCUACAGAAGGACUAUGCUAACAGUACGUUGUGUAUCAUCAACUGAUCAAAUCUUGGAUUGGAGAAGUAUGUCAUGUCUAAGCUGUUUUCUCAGACGUUUACUUCAACUGCUGAGGAUGUGAAGAUUGAUCAGGAAAUCUCUGACAAGAUAUGCCUGCUGCAAACCUUCUUGAGGCCUAAGCAUUUGGAUAUACUGCAGUACUUCAAAUUGAAGCUUCGUGGCUGUGGAGCUGCAACAUCAGGCUGCUGAUCAUAAAUGGUACAAGACUCUUCCUCCGGGCGAAAUGUUGCCAAGGAAUGAGCCUCUUGGAGGCAACAUUUUUGUUUGCAACAACG
Molecule: long non-coding RNA, 374 nt
Organism: Pistacia vera
Lineage: Eukaryota; Viridiplantae; Streptophyta; Magnoliopsida; Sapindales; Anacardiaceae
Exons: 3
Source: RefSeq, a predicted model, not a curated record